Molecule: non-coding RNA, 1816 nt
Organism: Arachis ipaensis
Lineage: Eukaryota; Viridiplantae; Streptophyta; Magnoliopsida; Fabales; Fabaceae
Source: RefSeq, a predicted model, not a curated record
UUGUGUGGCUUCCAUUUUAUUUUAACUCUGUCUCUACUAUUAUUUUCUGCUCAGAUACAAAAUGUCCUAUCUUGGUUUCUUUCUUUAAGAAAGAGGAAAAGAUAUCAUGCAAGCUUAUUGAGUGUAUUAAUACAUAUUUGUUAAAUGAUGGUCCAAAUUUGUGCGGUCAUUUAUUACAGAUUCAUACUGCUAUACAACAAUUUGUGUUUCGUUGUUGGUUGACAACACAUGAUCGAGUGCUUAAGGAUUCACUUAUAUUGUAUUCAAGGAUUCAUGAAGUUUCUAAAGGCUAACAAAGAGAAACCAUGUCAGAUGGUGGCUGCUUACUUUUGGAGAAAUCGGAGGAUCACGGUUGAUCCAACACUCCUCCGCCUAAUCAAGAAAGUUAAUCAAAAGGCAAGUUCCCAAUUCUAAAUUCAAUUAAUUAAUAUGAGAUAUUGCAUUAAAAUUAAGUUACAAAAUCAGUUAUCUAUAUAGAAUAUGAGUUAAUUGUCACAUCAUAUGUUUAUACAUAAAUUAUAUGGUGGCUGAUUUUUUUUUGUGCAUAUAAUAUUUUAUAUAAUCAAACAAGUGCUAACGUAUAAGAUGUAAGCAAGGUUCAAAAGAGGAAGAAGGUAAAGGAUGUUGGGUUGAGGAAGAGAAAGCCUAGAAAGGGUGAAGACGAGAGAUGGACGUGUUAAUGGCAAUAAUAGACUUGAAGGUGGUGUCGAGGGUGCUGAGAAUGAAAGAGUUGAGCGAAGAGAAGUUGCAUUGGUGUGAACACAAGAUGAGCAAAGUUAGAAUCAUCGUAGGGAAGCUUCAAACAGAUUUAGAUCUAAACAAGGGAUAUAAUUCAAGGAUAUAAUUCAAAGAUAUAAUUUUAAACCCAAUAUCUGUUAGCAAGGGAAGCAAGUAAAGUAAAGUAAAGUGAGUAAGAACCUAUUUAUUGAUUUUUUUUUAGCUACUUGCAAAUCAUAUUUGUAUGUGCGCGUGCACAUUCAUUAUUGAUUCUCUGGAAAGUGGUACUAAUUAUUGACUUAUACGGUUGCAUUGCAUCUUUAAUUUCUUGUAAUCACUUCUUUUUAAUUACUUCUCAGCUCAUGGUCAAGUGAUAGAGAAGAAAUUAAUCUCCAUGACUCGUGAGAUGGAAAAGCUUUGUACUGAGAUUGCAAGUGCAGAGAAAAGGCAAUGUGCACCUGCCAAUCCAGCUAAUGAACAUGGAAACAUGAAGAGGAAGAAUGUUGCAAUUGUAGUAACUGGAGUGAUUAUUUUUUGGAUUAAUCAUAUGUACCAGCAUAGUAUUCAUUAAAUAUCUAGGUAAACACCGUCAUGGAUAUUAUUUGCCAUAUUAUUUUUGGAACCUUUGAAUGGGCUUAAUAUCUUAUUUUUACUGUAAUAUGUUUAUUUUGUUCUUCAUACUUUCAAAAACUAAUUGAAUGAAGAAUUUUCUACUGGAUCUUUAUUUCAAGGUGAACUUUAGUUGCCAUUUCUAGCACUUCUCUUGGUCAUCCUUUUCCCUUGUGACUUAUGAGGUCAUGAGAUUUAGGGACAUAAAAGGAAGUGCUAUCAUUUCAUUAUUGAUUGCAGUGUAUUUGACUUACCAUCAUUUCUCAAAAACAAGUUUACAGAAAUUACUUGAUCAAGGUUCAAUUGUUGUCACCAUAGCUGUUGUUUGUAUCACUAUUGCAUCUUUGUUGCUUCUAAUCUGAGUUGCUUUAGAAUGUAGACUCAUAAUAUGUUAUACAUAAUAAUGUCUGACUGUGGUGAUCAUUGUGUAAUAUAUCAUAUCUGGAUUCUGUACUUUUUUUACUAAUUAUUGUUGAUUCAAAUAAAGAGG